RNAcentral lists this long non-coding RNA (2228 nucleotides) under Nicotiana benthamiana. RNAcentral's name for it is "long non-coding RNA (NBEN_LNC006855)". The record is from RNAcentral. Lineage: Eukaryota; Viridiplantae; Streptophyta; Magnoliopsida; Solanales; Solanaceae.
CCAAUUCGAAGAGAAUGAGAUUGCGAACUACCUUAUUUUAAAUAUGUGAACUAGUAAAGCUGAAACUAUUAACUAUGCGAUUCUUACAGACAUACAUCCCAUAGUUCAAUAAUCUAACAAUUGGUUCACAUUAAACAUGAAUACUGAAUUGACUAAUUUUCGCGCCAUUUCAAGGAUCGUAGUUUCAUAAUCUAACAUUAUGCUUCAGUCAACUGCUAAUCAGUGAACUUAUUAAUGGAAACAAUCCUAAUUAUACAUACCUCUACCAUUCGUAUAACAUGAAAAUAUAUAACUAAUAUCUAACUAAAAUAUAAAUAUUCUAUUUCUAAACAUAUAAAUUUCUGGCCAUUUCAUUUCAGCUUCAAAGCGUAUAAAAGUGGUGCACCUGGUAUUGGAAUACAAGUAAAAGAAAAGGAUGAGAAUAAAGCAACAGUAGAAACAUCACAUCAACAUGCAGUAACCAGCAAUAGUAAUGCAAUAGCCCAGAAACAGAUUUGGAAACCCGUCGGACAAACUUAAAAAACCAGUGGAACAGCAAUCCAAAAACAACCAAACUCAGGAAAACCAAACGCAAACCCAAAAAUACCAAUAUCACUCACUGGCAUAACAGAAUGAACUAGAAACAAAAGGAAUCAAUAGUUUAUGAAUUCGAACAGUCAAAGAAAGAAGUUUGAAGCUUCAAUGAAACAAUAGCAAUUAGGGCUGAUUUCAAUAGUGAAAGAAAAUAGAAUUUCUCAGUUUUUUAGCUCUCCCAAAUCUGAAGUUCUUCAGAUUCAAAAGUCUCUCCCUUUUAGUCCCAAAUGACCUCUAUCUUAUACACAAAGCAAGACCAUUUCCUUUCUUUUUACCUAUUAUCACUACCCCUUUUAUUAUUACCUUUUUCUAAAUACCCCGACUUCUUUCUUACUUUCCAGCCCAAUAUUCCUCUAACUAUGUGUAUCUUUUAACUUUUAUUACUACCUACUAUUUGCUAAUUUCUAAUUAGCAGAAAACUAACUAGGCCCACCCCCUUAUCAAGUGUCUUGUGUCAUUUUUAAUUCAAAGUUAUAAGUACCUAUUUAUUUAAUCAAUCCCUUUACUUCCCCAUUAAGUUUGUGCCCCACUAUCACUUAAUUCAAAUUAAAGCACAUUAGCACCCCACUUGACAGACCCCUUAGUCAAACCAAUUUUUCUUAUUUGAACUUCCCCAAAUUACCCCUGAAUUCUACUAUUACUUCCAUGAUUCAAAACAGUAAGUAUUAAACCCCUUUAAAUUACAACUAACACUAAUUAUUAACUACUUAAACAACUACACAGCUAUAACAUACAUACAGUUAACCAACAAUCAGAAUCAAACAGACACACAGGUGAUUCCAAUGAUUUUGACAAAAGAGAGAGUAAACUAAUUAAUCGACGAAAACUACUCAAAUCGAUUAUGCAAUUUAUAACAUAUACUCAAACGAACAGAAGAAAUCAUAACCAAAUAAAAGAUCGGAUUGGAGAAGAGAAAACAGAAUGAUUUGACAAAAAUUAACAAAACCAAUAAACUACACUGAACAGAUAAACAAAUAUAGACACAACAUAGACAAAAAGGGGGAGGCAAAAAUACCUUGAAACUCAUAAACCAGAUGACCUUAAGUUUUCGUUCAUAAACUGAAGAAGAAGAUAAACGCGACACUGGUGGUUUCAGAGUCAGUUGACGAUGAGGCGGAGCUGCUGUUUUGUCGAGCUGUAGAAGAAGUCGACGAUGGAGCAGUUGGUGUUAUGGAGGUUGUUUCAGGCGGAGGAAAGGCUGGACGGACUGGAAGUCAUUUUGGACGUUGUUCGUUCAGGUGAGUGACAAGAGCGAUGGUGACUUUUUGGAGCUCGUGGUCGUAACGAUGGGGUAGUCGUUGGACGGGAAACGGGAAGGAGAAGACAACGAAGAUGAAGCAGUGGCAGUAGGAGACGGAAGGGGUCGUUUGGAGAAGAAGGUGGUCGACUGGGUAGUGUCACAUAGACGGUGACUGGUUCACGACGACAAUGGUUCCGGACGAUGAUGGGGUGGCGAGUUGGUUUUCUAUAAUGAGGGACGACGGGGAAGGGAGAGGCAGCGGCUGGGCUAUGGUUCCACUAGGUUUAGGGUUCUUUUGUUUGUUUGUUACGGAGAACAAGAAGAUAAGCUUCGUAGGGUUUGGUUAUUUUGGGGGUGGAAAUGGACCGGGUCAGGUUUGGUUAUAGGAUUGGGUCGUUGGGUGCUUUGGUUUGGG